AUUGGCCUACGGGGCGCAGCAGUGGGGGAUAUUGCACAAUGGGGGGAACCCUGAUGCAGCGACGCCGCGUGGGUGAAGGAGUGCUUCGGCAUGUAAAGCCCUAUCGGCAGGGAAGAAGCAAGACGGUACCUGACUAAGAAGCCCCGGCUAACUACGUGCCAGCAGCCGCGGUAAUACGUAGGGGGCGAGCGUUAUCCGGAUUCACUGGGUGUAAAGGGAGCGUAGACGGCCAUGCAAGCCAGGGGGGAAAGCCCGGGGCCCCACCCCCGGACUGCCCUUGGAACUGCCUGGCUGGAGUGCGGGAG
This 305-nucleotide ribosomal RNA is filed under the name uncultured bacterium. RNAcentral describes it as "partial 16S ribosomal RNA". It matches the Rfam family "Bacterial small subunit ribosomal RNA", at positions 333 to 654 of the family's 1533-position model. The record is from RNAcentral.